AACCCUCAAAAAUCAUAACUGAGUGUGUAAAAAAGAACUGAAAUUUCAGUAAUCUCCUUAUGUGACUCUUGCCUACUAACAUUUGGGAUUCUCAGUGAAAGAAAGAGGACAGAGAAGAGUGCCAUAUGUUGGAUCACUUGGGGAACUAUUAUAAGACACAUAUAUAUGCCCAAUCAUUUUCUUAUAGUUCUUCCCCUUCCUUCCUGCAUAUUUUGAUUUAUUCUACCAAGGAUUUGAUUCUGGUUCCAGGAUUCAACUUCAUAAUAAAUACUAGUGGUGACUAAUUCCAAGGUCUCUUCAUAAGCUUUUAACAUAAAAUGCCCAUAUUCUAUAAGGCUAUGUAUCUACUGCUUACCUUCUCAGAUCUUACUUCGACUUUAUUUUUCCUCCAAAUAACGUCACUCAGCAAAUGUUUAUUAAAUACUUACCAUGAGUCAAGCAUCAUGCAUGGUACUGAGGGCAGAAUGGUGAAAAGGCAUAUAAAUUUGAAGGUGGCAGCCAAACUAAGUAGCUGGGACUAUAGGCCCCCACCACAAUGCCCAGUUAUUUUUUGGUUGUAGUUGUCAUUAUUGUUUACGGCAGGCCCAGGCUGGAUUUGAAUCCGCCAGCUCUGGUGUAUGUGGCUGGUGCCUUAGCUGCUUGAGUUACAGGCACCGAGCCUACUUGUAAUUAUUAAUUUAUACAUUCACUAUGUCAAAAACUGUUCCGAGUUACAACAAUAGUUUUAAUUUACUGAACAGUUAUGUGGACAUUGUAUUUGGUGCUUUACACAUUAUUUCUAAUCCAUAAUAAUGAUCCUGUCUUACAAGACAAAUGGUAUCCUUAUUUUACAGAUGAGAAAAGUGAGGGCCAAGGCUACAGAACUACUAAGGCUUAGAAAUGGAGUUAGAAUUCAAGUCUGUGAUCUAUUAUGCUACACAUUCAAAAUAUGUGUAUGUUUUUAUCACACAUAUUUUCCAUUCAAGUUUUUAUUUUUUUAUUUUCUAUUUAAAAAAAAAAUUCCGGGGGGGCACGCUCCGGUAACCUGUACCCCAUGUAGUUGCCGGUUACCGAUCGGACUAAGUUCCAGUUGGUGAUUUACAAAUCAAGUUAAAAUGUCCCUGGAAGUGGCCUUGAACAAAAUUUCUCCAAUGUUCUCCCCAUUUAUAUCUAGUGUGGUCUGGAAUGGAAAAGUGGGACUGGAUGUUACAAACUGUUUGAGGAUAACUGACUUGAAAUCUGGCUGCACAUCAUUGACUCCUGGACCCAAUUGUGAUCGAUUUAAAUUACACAUACCAUAUGCUGGAGAGACAUUAAAAUGGGAUAUCAUUUUCAAUGCCCAGUACCCAGAGCUGCCCCCUGAUUUUAUCUUUGGAGAAGAUGCUGAAUUCCUGCCAGACCCUGCGGCUCUGCAGAACCUUGCCUCCUGGAAUCCUUCAAAUCUUGAAUGUCUCUUACUUGUGGUGAAGGAACUUGUGCAACAGUAUCAUCAAUUUCAAUGUAGCCAUCUCCGGGAGAGCUCCCGCCUCAUGUUUGAUGUUUGAAUACCAAACAUUACUGGAAGAGCCACAAUAUGGAGAGAACAUGGAAAUAUAUGCUGGGAAAAAAAACAACUGGACUGGUGAAUUUUCAGCUCGUUUCCUUUUGAAGUUGCCAGUGGAUUUCAGCAAUAUUCCCACAUACCUGCUCAAGGAUGUAAAUGAAGACCCUGGAGAAGAUGUGGCCCUCCUUUCUGUCAGUUUUGAGGACACUGAAGCUACCCAAGUAUACCCCAAGCUGUACUUGUCACCCCGAAUUGAGCAUGCAUUUGGCGGCUCCUCAGCUCUUCAUAUCCCAGCUUUUCCAGGAGGAGGAUGUCUCAUUGAUUAUGUUCCUCAAGUGUGCCACCUGCUCACUAACAAGGUGUAGUAUGUGAUUCAGGGAUAUCACAAAAGAAGAGAGUAUAUUGCUGCUUUCUUCAGUCACUUUGGCACAUGUGUCGUGGAAUAUGAUGCAGAAGGCUUUACAAAACUCACUCUGCUGCUGAUGUGGAAAGAUUUUUGUUUUCUUGUACACAUUGACCUGCCCCUGUUUUUUCCUCGAGACCAGCCAACUCUCACAUUUCAAUCCAUCUAUCACUUUACCAACAGCGGACAACUUUACUCCCAGGCCCCCCAAAAUUAUCCAUACAGCCCCAGAUGGGAUGGAAAUGAAAUGGCCAAAAGAGCAAAGGCUUAUUUCAAAACCUUUGUCCCUCAGUUCUACAAGGCAGCUUUUGCCAAUGGAAAGCUCUAGGAAACACCAGUCUUGAGAGGUGGCCAGCCAGACUGCUUUGUCCACUUGCAUGUCAGCACACACGCUGCUUCCUGGAAGCCCCUUGGAACAUCCUCCUGGCAGCGCUUUGUUCACACAGCAGCUUUGCAUGGCCCAGACAGCUCAGACUGCCGUAGCCCCUCCUUGAGCUGGCUGACAGCACCAAAAUCAUAGAGCCCCUCACUUUUUUUCUUUCCUUUAUUAUAUUUCCUAAUUGAAAUAAAUAAUCUCAUAAAUCAUUAUGCAAAAAAAAAAAAAAAUUCCUCUUGGCAACAGAAUUUCCCUGUAAGAUCUGAUGCUCACUACUUCAUGAGCAUAUGUUGAAUCUAUGGAUUCAAAUUAUUCUAAUUACAGAUCUACCAAUCCAAUACCAAAAUAUUAGUUUUUUUCUACUUCUAUUUUUUCCCCUU
Nycticebus coucang (slow loris) is the source of this 2681-nucleotide RNA transcript. It is a transcript of the gene named BRISC and BRCA1-A complex member 2-like, with no coding region annotated. The transcript has a single exon. Lineage: Eukaryota; Metazoa; Chordata; Mammalia; Primates; Lorisidae. The record is from RefSeq and is a predicted model, not a curated record.